CCUACGGGUGGCAGCAGUGAGGAAUAUUGGUCAAUGGACGAGAGUCUGAACCAGCCAAGUAGCGUGAAGGAUGACUGCCCUAUGGGUUGUAAACUUCUUUUAUAUGGGAAUAAAACGUUCCAUGUGUGGGAUUUUGUAUGUACCAUAUGAAUAAGGAUCGGCUAACUCCGUGCCAGCAGCCGCGGUAAUACGGAGGAUCCGAGCGUUAUCCGGAUUUAUUGGGUUUAAAGGGAGCGUAGGUGGAUUGUUAAGUCAGUUGUGAAAGUUUGCGGCUCAACCGUAAAAUUGCAGUUGAAACUGGCAGUCUUGAGUACAGUAGAGGUGGGCGGAAUUCGUGGUGUAGCGGUGAAAUGCGUAGAUAUCACGAAGAACUCCGAUUGCGAAGGCAGUUCACUGGACUGCAACUGACACUGAGGCUCGAAAGUGUGGGUAUCAAACAGGAUUAGAUACCCGAGUAGUC
This 460-nucleotide ribosomal RNA is filed under the name uncultured bacterium. Its description in RNAcentral is "partial 16S ribosomal RNA". It matches the Rfam family "Bacterial small subunit ribosomal RNA", at positions 338 to 795 of the family's 1533-position model. The record is from RNAcentral.